UGCCAGCCGCCGCGGUAAUACGGAGGGAGCUAGCGUUGUUCGGAUUUAUUGGGUUUAAAGGGUACGUAGGCGGCUUAUUAAGUCAGUGGUGAAAGUUUGCAGCUUAACUGUAAAAGUGCCAUUGAUACUGGUAAGCUUGAGUACUGUAGAGGUGGGCGGAAUUCCGCAUGUAGCGGUGAAAUGCAUAGAUAUGCGGAGGAACACCAAAAGCGAAGGCAGCUCACUAACACUAUAUUGACGCUAAGGGACGAAAGCGUGGGGAGCGAACGGGAUUAGAUA
RNAcentral lists this ribosomal RNA (279 nucleotides) under uncultured bacterium. RNAcentral describes it as "partial 16S ribosomal RNA". It matches the Rfam family "Bacterial small subunit ribosomal RNA", at positions 506 to 784 of the family's 1533-position model. The record is from RNAcentral.